RNAcentral lists this ribosomal RNA (253 nucleotides) under uncultured bacterium. RNAcentral describes it as "partial 16S ribosomal RNA". It matches the Rfam family "Bacterial small subunit ribosomal RNA", at positions 524 to 776 of the family's 1533-position model. The record is from RNAcentral.
UACGUAGGGAGCAAGCGUUGUUCGGAUUUACUGGGCGUAAAGGGCGCGUAGGCGGCAAUUCAAGUCAUCUGUGAAAUCUCCGGGCUUAACUCGGAACGGUCAGAUGAUACUGCUUUGCUAGAGUGCAGAAGGGGCAAUCGGAAUUCUCGGUGUAGCGGUGAAAUGCGUAGAUAUCGAGAGGAACACCAGAGGUGAAGACGGGUUGCUGGGCUGACACUGACGCUGAGGCGCGAAAGCCAGGGGAGCGAACGGG